UUGACUCUUAAAUGAGAAUCGUUAUGAUUAUCACAACUGGUCGCGAGAUCAGCCGAUAACUGAAAGACCAUUGGUUCGGACUCUCAGAUUAUCUCCUCAUCAGGCUAAUCACGGUUAUUUGACCCGGCUUUUGCCGGGUCUUUUUUUG
RNAcentral lists this small RNA (148 nucleotides) under Pseudomonas sp. PDC86. RNAcentral describes it as "PrrF RNA". It matches the Rfam family "PrrF RNA". Rfam says of the family: PrrF RNA is a small RNA involved in iron homeostasis and is found exclusively in Pseudomonas species. Their expression is induced under iron limitation by the ferric uptake regulator (Fur) and they act to negatively regulate several genes including sodB and sdh. The record is from RNAcentral. Lineage: Bacteria; Pseudomonadati; Pseudomonadota; Gammaproteobacteria; Pseudomonadales; Pseudomonadaceae.